Molecule: ribosomal RNA, 253 nt
Filed under: uncultured bacterium
Lineage: Bacteria
Description: partial 16S ribosomal RNA
Rfam family: Bacterial small subunit ribosomal RNA
Source: RNAcentral
UACGUAGGGACCGAGCGUUGUCCGGAUUCAUUGGGCGUAAAGAGCUCGUAGGCGGCUGCUCAAGUCGAAUGUGAAAACUCGAGGCUCAACCUCGAGCCUGCAUUCGAUACUGGGCGGCUAGAGUCUGGUAGGGGGAUCUGGAAUUCCUGGUGUAGCGGUGGAAUGCGCAGAUAUCAGGAGGAACACCGGUGGCGAAGGCGGGAUCCUGGGCCAGUACUGACGCUGAGGAGCGAAAGCGUGGGAAGCAAACAGG